This 455-nucleotide ribosomal RNA is filed under the name uncultured Thauera sp. Its description in RNAcentral is "bacterial SSU rRNA". It matches the Rfam family "Bacterial small subunit ribosomal RNA", at positions 925 to 1382 of the family's 1533-position model. Lineage: Bacteria; Pseudomonadati; Pseudomonadota; Betaproteobacteria; Rhodocyclales; Zoogloeaceae. The record is from RNAcentral.
ACAAGCGGUGGAUGAUGUGGAUUAAUUCGAUGCAACGCGAAAACCUUACCUACCCUUGACAUGUCUGGAACCUUGGUGAGAGCCGAGGGUGCCUUCGGGAGCCAGAACACAGGUGCUGCAUGGCUGUCGUCAGCUCGUGUCGUGAGAUGUUGGGUUAAGUCCCGCAACGAGCGCAACCCUUGUCACUAGUUGCCAUCAUUUAGUUGGGCACUCUAGUGAGACUGCCGGUGACAAACCGGAGGAAGGUGGGGAUGACGUCAAGUCCUCAUGGCCCUUAUGGGUAGGGCUUCACACGUCAUACAAUGGUCGGUACAGAGGGUUGCCAACCCGCGAGGGGGAGCUAAUCCCACAAAGCCGAUCGUAGUCCGGAUCGCAGUCUGCAACUCGACUGCGUGAAGUCGGAAUCGCUAGUAAUCGUGGAUCAGCAUGUCACGGUGAAUACGUUCCCGGGUCUU